Molecule: ribosomal RNA, 996 nt
Filed under: Enterobacter sp.
Lineage: Bacteria; Pseudomonadati; Pseudomonadota; Gammaproteobacteria; Enterobacterales; Enterobacteriaceae
Description: bacterial SSU rRNA
Rfam family: Bacterial small subunit ribosomal RNA
Source: RNAcentral
GGGGGGGGGCGGCCUACCAUGCAAGUCGAGCGGCAGCGGAAAGUAGCUUGCUACUUUGCCGGCGAGCGGCGGACGGGUGAGUAAUGUCUGGGAAACUGCCUGAUGGAGGGGGAUAACUACUGGAAACGGUAGCUAAUACCGCAUAACGUCGCAAGACCAAAGAGGGGGACCUUCGGGCCUCUUGCCAUCAGAUGUGCCCAGAUGGGAUUAGCUAGUAGGUGGGGUAACGGCUCACCUAGGCGACGAUCCCUAGCUGGUCUGAGAGGAUGACCAGCCACACUGGAACUGAGACACGGUCCAGACUCCUACGGGAGGCAGCAGUGGGGAAUAUUGCACAAUGGGCGCAAGCCUGAUGCAGCCAUGCCGCGUGUAUGAAGAAGGCCUUCGGGUUGUAAAGUACUUUCAGCGGGGAGGAAGGCGAUGAGGUUAAUAACCUUGUCGAUUGACGUUACCCGCAGAAGAAGCACCGGCUAACUCCGUGCCAGCAGCCGCGGUAAUACGGAGGGUGCAAGCGUUAAUCGGAAUUACUGGGCGUAAAGCGCACGCAGGCGGUCUGUCAAGUCGGAUGUGAAAUCCCCGGGCUCAACCUGGGAACUGCAUUCGAAACUGGCAGGCUAGAGUCUUGUAGAGGGGGGUAGAAUUCCAGGUGUAGCGGUGAAAUGCGUAGAGAUCUGGAGGAAUACCGGUGGCGAAGGCGGCCCCCUGGACAAAGACUGACGCUCAGGUGCGAAAGCGUGGGGAGCACACAGGAUUAUAUACCCUGGUAGUCCACGCCGUAAACGAUGUCGACUUGGAGGUUGUGCCCUUGAGGCGUGGCUUCCGGAGCUAACGCGUUAACUCGACCGCCUGGGGAGUACGGCCGCGAGGAUAGAACUCAUAUGAAUUGACGGGGGCCCGCACAACCGGUGGAGCAUGUGGUGUAAUUCUAUGCAACGCGGAGGAGCAUACCUACUCUUGACGUCCGCAGAAGUAACAUAAAUGCAAUGGUGUCUUCGG